AGUGUAAACACAUAGAUUUCACUCCCCACGAGCGGUCCGUAGUUUGGGGUAGAAAAGAUCUUUUUCUUUCGAUAAGAGCGCAUUUCUAGCGUAGGUUGGGAACCCGACACUCCCCGGUAACUGGCAGGGGGAGGCGGUUUGCGGGACGCUGCCGGGGGGGCGCUGAGCUUUGUGCCAACCUCUCCCAGCGUCCGGCCAGCCAGGAGAAAGCUGCGAAUGCAGGAGGGGAUGAAGGCGGAGAAUGGGUGAGGAAGGAAGGGGCUGGGAAAUGGGAAGAGGUCGUUCUGCCCCCGAAACUACAUAAUGGCUGGGAAGGACCGCCAAACAAGACUGGAACCAGUAGGAAGUUGUACGGUAUGAAGAAACAGGCCCAUGGAAGCUUCCAGAUUUUGUCAGAUGGUAGAUUCCAAGUCUCCAACUUCUACUGCUGCUUGGUGCUGUCUAACCGUCCCUUAAUGGCACAGAUUCACUGGACAGAGGAAGAAGAAGAUGGCCAAGAUUUACUGGUUGGAAGACGAGACAGCUCCCUUCUGAUGCUUUCAAUCUGCCUUUGAAAUUCAUCAGCUAAGGGUGAGGAAGAGAUGGGAGAAUUGGAGUUUGAUUAUGUCAUAGAAGUUGAGAAGAUGGAUCAUAUGCCUAUCUGCUUCCAGUGUCGUCUUCCUUCCAGGCUGAAGGAGCUGUGUUCUCCAGGACAUAUGAGGAAACUGAAGCUAAGACAGUGUGGUUGGAGGAAUGAAUUGCCCCCAAAGAAGUUUACAGUCUCAUCUCCAGAACUGUGAUUAUGGUCCCUAACAUGGGAAUUAUUGACAUCAUCUACAAGGCAUAUUAACCAUGAAGAAAGACAGAUUUCAACUGUACGUCCUCUUUCUGCAGAGACUGAAGAAGAGGUAGGUGUGGCCAUGAAAGACCAGCUUAAUACCACUUGUGACCUUUGCUUUAUACAGGUGACCUGUGGUUGACUUAUGAAUAACAGGAACAUAACCAGAUUUCCUUAUGACAUUCUCACUAUUGCUCUUAAUUCAACAUAUAUUUGUGACAUUGACGUGGUUGUUCACUUGAGCCUGCUCUAGAUAUUUAAUUGAUAUAGCCAGCUAGCUAAGCAGCAAUAACUUGUAUCUUUCUAGGUUAUAGAACUAUGUUUGCGGAAAGAAAACAUGUCUCUCCCGAUUUCAUCAGCAUGAUCAAACAUUAAUGAUGUGUAUCUGCAAAAAAUUGUGAGAGAAUUGAGUAUAUCAUCUUAUCAACACUAUCAUUAAAAACAAUGAGAGGAAGAAACAGAAAAAUCUUUCCUGGAUUUUUUUUCUUGAUCUUCUUUAAAAAGAAAACCAGAGAUUUAAACCUCCCCACAGGGGAUCAUUUUAGCUACACUUAUGACUUAGGAAGGUUACAUGAGGAAGAACAGUUUCUGUCCCUGAGAUGGUUGAAAAGAGAAGAUGAAGUGGGUGAGAGAAGGUUGAAGUA
Long non-coding RNA from Phacochoerus africanus (Common warthog), 1461 nucleotides. RefSeq lists it as uncharacterized. The record is from RefSeq and is a predicted model, not a curated record. Lineage: Eukaryota; Metazoa; Chordata; Mammalia; Artiodactyla; Suidae. The transcript has 6 exons.